UCGGGAAUUUUGGGCAAUGGGCGAAAGCCUGACCCAGCAACGCCGCGUGAGGGAUGAAGUAUUUCGGUAUGUAAACCUCGAAAGAAUGGGAAGAAUAAAUGACGGUACCAUUUAUAAGCUCCGGCUAACUACGUGCCAGCAGCCGCGGUAAUACGUAGGGAGCAAGCGUUGUUCGGAUUUACUGGGCGUAAAGGGCGCGUAGGCGGCGCGGUAAGUCACUUGUGAAAUCUCUGAGCUUAACUCAGAACGGCCAAGUGAUACUGCUGGGCUAGAGUGCGGAAGAGGCAACCGGAAUUCUUGGUGUAGCGGUGAAAUGCGUAGAUAUCAAGAGGAACACCUGAGGCGAAGGCGGGUUGCUGGGCCGACACUGACGCUGAUGCGCGAGAGCCAGGGGAGCAAACG
This 402-nucleotide ribosomal RNA is filed under the name uncultured bacterium. Its description in RNAcentral is "bacterial SSU rRNA". It matches the Rfam family "Bacterial small subunit ribosomal RNA", at positions 355 to 774 of the family's 1533-position model. The record is from RNAcentral.